GGAUAAUUCGAGUCAUUUACAAUUCAAUUUGGCUUUCACUAGAUAACAUCAUAUACUAUCACAUUGAGCCAUUAUUUAUCUCAUGAACAUCUAGUUGACGCUUUCUAUUCACAUUUUCAUAUUCAAUUCACUAUUUCUUCCUGUCAAUCACAAUUUCGAAUGACAGAUUCAUGUAAAUGAGCUCAAUAUCAUUAGCUGUUUAAUUUCUGUCACUUAAAUUCACAUGCACAUAAUUUAUUAACAUAACUUGUCAAACACAAUCUCUGAAUGAUAAGAUCACAUAAUUGAGCUCAAUUUCACUGUUCAAUAUGUUUUAUCACAUAAAAUUUGCUUAACACUUACCACAAUUUGACAAAUUAGAGAACGUCUUACGGAAUUGAGUACUUCGUUUUCACAUUGCCAUAGUAUAAUUAUGGUCUUGCACAUUGUCUCGUAUCACACACCAAAGCCAUAGCAUAGCUAUGGUCUUACACGGAAACACAUAUUACACCGAUGCCAUAUCCCAGAUAUGGUCUUACAGGAAAGCACAUAGUCACAUCUUCACAUGUUGCCAUGGUCAAACCAUGGUCUUUACCGUCAAUUCAUCACAUAUCACUGAACGAAAGUACUCAUUCCUGCAUUCUACUCAAUUUGACCUUUUAGUUUCUUUUUCGUACUUUUACAAUAUUCACACUUUAAAUAUGAACAUAUGAAAUGAUUUAUCAUUUCUUUCAUUUACCAACAAGUAAUUAUUAAAUUCAGCUAUAUGAACUUACAAUUCGAUUUUAUAACAUAACGAUGAUCAUAAUUUCAUAAUAACUAUUUGAAAUAAAACAUUAUAUCAUUUCUAAUUCAACGUUUAUAGAUUAUAAUCGGGCAUAUGACCAAUUUAUACACAAGUCUUUCAUAUAUUUUUCUCCUCCUCCUUUCUAUUCCACUUCCUUAUUGUACAUAACACGCUUAUAAGUAACAUUAUCUAUAAUUUCACUAUUUAUUUAUAUGUAUAUUCAAACUUGUCCAUCUGUGUCAUAGUCACUAAAUUAUUUUUAUCUUGAGCUACAGAACUCCAAAUUAAGAUCUGCUAAAUUCCUCUGAAGCUAGACUCAUAUAUCUUCUUACCAUAAAAUUUUCAGAAUUUAUGGCUUAGCCAAUAAGUACAGUUUAUGCUUUAAAGUCAUCCCUGUUCUGCUAUCUGACAGUUUCCACCAUUCUUCACUAAAAAUUAAUUAUCUCCUCGUACGGGAUUCAGAUGAUGUUUCCGUUUGUUUCUAUUGAAAAUAAAUUCAUUAAGAAUUUUAAAAAAUAAAUUUAAGCCCUUAAUUAUUUUUCUCCAAUUUUUUAUGAUUUUCCAAAAUCAAAAUAGGGGAACCCCAAAUCAUUUUGACCUUGUCUCACAAAAUUUAUUAUAUCUCAUAAUUUAUAAUUUCAUUGCUUACACCGUUUCUUCUAUGAGAAACUAGACUCAAUAAGCUUUAAUUUCAUAUUUUAUCCAUCUUCUAAUUCGAUUCCCACAAUUUUUGGUGAUUUUUCAAAGUUAGACCACUGCUGCUGCCCAAAACUGUUUUAGUGCAAAAUAUUGAUUACCAAUUUGACCCUAAACUUUUAAUACAUGACAAUUUCAUCCCUAGGCUCGAAAAAUGAAAUUCUUACAAUUUAAUCCUUGAUCCAAGCCUAAUAAUUCUCAUACAUAUCAGUAACAGCCCAUGGAUUCCAUAAAAUUUUAGAAUUUUUUCACAAAUUCAAUACUUUUCAAUUUAAUACCUAAAACAUGUUUUCAUCCAAACUUCUCUAAUAAAACACCUUUAAACAUCCAUUAACAUCUCAAUUUCAUCAUAAAAUAACAAAAAUCAUAUGAACUUAUCAUUGGUAUCUUCCAAAACUUUCAAAAAAAUGAGAAACUAGUAGAAUACUAAGUUGGAUCUAAUUGUAAAAGUCUCAAAAUAUAAAAAUUUCAAGGAAAAAGCAAGAAUUAAACUUACUUGAAGCAAAAAUAUGGAAUACCAGCUCCAAACCCUCUUCCAUGGCUGUUUCCCACCGAAAUUUCAAGAAGAAAUGGUCUUGAAAUCCUUAAAAUAAAAUUUGGCC
RNAcentral lists this long non-coding RNA (2064 nucleotides) under Gossypium barbadense (sea-island cotton). RNAcentral's name for it is "long non-coding RNA (GBAR_LNC016116)". Lineage: Eukaryota; Viridiplantae; Streptophyta; Magnoliopsida; Malvales; Malvaceae. The record is from RNAcentral.